This 390-nucleotide ribosomal RNA is filed under the name Triticum aestivum (bread wheat). RNAcentral's name for it is "partial small subunit ribosomal RNA". The record is from RNAcentral. Lineage: Eukaryota; Viridiplantae; Streptophyta; Magnoliopsida; Poales; Poaceae.
CUUUGGCUCCUGAAUAAAAAGAGUAUUCUAACUAGAGACAAUUUGCUGAAGAAGGGCUGGAAAGGAGACAAACAUUGUGUUUUGUGUGGGAAAGAGGAGAAUAUUGAUCACCUCUUCUUCUCCUGCUCUGUUGCUAGACUCAUUUGGAGCCUGGUUGGGUGUGCUUUUGACCUUAAACUUAUUCCAAAAGAUUUGAAUGAUUGUUUUGGAAAUUGGUUGAAUAAAUUCAACAAAAAUGAUAAGAAAAUGGUUUUGACUGGUACCUUUGAUUUAUUAUGGGCAAUUUGGAAUAGUAGGAAUGAUAUUGUAUUUGGCAGGAAAAAUAUAAACGACCCAAUUGGGAUCGUUAAAAGAAUUUGCUAUUGGAUCGCUGACUGGGCUGUUUUGUAA